CACUUGGCUUAUCCAAUAAACCAAUUGGACUUGAUCCGAUCAAGCCUAAACUAAGUCUAUUUAAAUCAUAUUCAAUUAAACUUAAUCUCAGUCCAUUGGCUUAAUCAAAUUAAGCCAAUUAGCAAUCAAAUUGCUAAUCGAUCCUCCUGCAACACUAGCACUAGGUUAAAUGUCAAUCACAUUGAUCAUUUAACCCUAGAAUGAUUUUUAAUCGUUAAUCAACCAUC
This 227-nucleotide long non-coding RNA is filed under the name Elaeis guineensis (African oil palm). RNAcentral's name for it is "long non-coding RNA (EGUI_LNC065286)". Lineage: Eukaryota; Viridiplantae; Streptophyta; Magnoliopsida; Arecales; Arecaceae. The record is from RNAcentral.